Molecule: ribosomal RNA, 404 nt
Filed under: uncultured bacterium
Lineage: Bacteria
Description: partial 16S ribosomal RNA
Rfam family: Bacterial small subunit ribosomal RNA
Source: RNAcentral
GACGAACGCUGGCGGCGUGCUUAACACAUGCAAGUCGAGCGGAGCGGCGAACGGGUGAGUAACGCGUGAGUAACUGCCCCCCUCUCUGGGAUAACAGUUGGAAACGGCUGCUAAUACCGGAUAGUGGGGGAUGACUCGCGUCCUAUCAGCUUGUUGGUGGGGUAGUGGCCUACAAAGGCGACGACGGGUAGCCGGCCUGAGAGGGAGACCGGCCAAAGUGGGCUGGGAUACGGCCCAAACACAUACGGGAGGCAGCAGUGGGGAAUAUUGCACCAUGGGGGAAACCCUGAUGCAGCAACGCGCGUGCGGGAUGACGGCCUUCGGGUUGUAAACCGCUUUCAGCCAUGACGCGGUAGUGGCAGAAGAAGAACAGGCUAACUACGAGCCAGCAGCCGCGGUAAUAC